RNAcentral lists this long non-coding RNA (1347 nucleotides) under Sarcophilus harrisii (Tasmanian devil). RNAcentral describes it as "lncRNA (ENSSHAG00000020876.1)". The record is from RNAcentral. Lineage: Eukaryota; Metazoa; Chordata; Mammalia; Dasyuromorphia; Dasyuridae.
GUGAAAGGGGAUUUUAAAUGCAAAGCUGUUAUUCAGCACUGCACAUUAUGCAGAAUUUCACAAAUUAUUCAGUGCAUUCUAUACUGAAUUUGGAAAAUACUGGAUUCAGAAAUUAUAAUUUAACAUUUCACAAUAAAAUUUAUUAUUCAAUAACUGACCACUCAUUGUUCUCACUUGAAAUGAGCAGAAAUCAUUGGCUUAGAUUAAUAAGCAGAAACAAAAUGUAUGAAACUAACUCUAGUGAGCGGGAAACCCGGUAUAGUGCAUCUGACCUGAUUAGCAAUAGGCAAAGAUGGCCUAAAGUUUUUUUUUUUUCUUCCCUAAAAUAUCUGAAUCAUUUCUUUUUUCUUUCUUUUUUUUACACUAACUUCCUGAGAAACACCAUUGGGCUGUUAACAUUUUUCAGAAAAUAGCAACUUCUUGGUGCAAAUAUACAAUCAAAACCCUGAUACAGCUAGAUAGGUUGAGAUUUGCACAUGAAAAAUUUAUAAGUGGUAGUUCUUGUGAAGCAACAAGUUUCCUUAGUGCCUAAGAGUAAAAACCGACUUGGGAUGUCUGAUGUCCAAAACAGACUUCUAACUCAGAAUAGGCUACAAAGAGAAGGUAGAAUCAGUGUACCUCAGCUCUACUAAUCCUGUGAAAACUUUUUUUUUCUUAUGAAGAAGGUAACAAGGAAUCUUAGAGUAGCUGUGAUUUGCUUUAAUAAUGCAAAGAUCCUAUGAUUAAAUAUAUAUUUUAAGUUUUACUAAGGUUUGAUAUCAUGAAAACAAAGCCAUGACUUUUUUCUUUUUGGUUAAAAUGUUCUUUAUGGGAUAGAAAUGUGGAUAUUAUUGAGAAUGAAAAUUUAUAGAAUGCUUUCAAGUUUAUAAAAUAUUCUCAUUUCAUAAGAUCCCAUUAACCUAUGAAAAAGGAACUGCAAGGAUUAUAGUCUUCAUUUUCCAGAUGAGACAAAUGAGGUUCAGAGGGGUAAAUUACCUUGGCCAUACUAAGUGUCAGUGGCAGAAUUAGAAUAGCUGCCUUCACUUAAAAUCUAGCACCCUGACUUCUAUGCCAGACUGUAAUGCAAGUGCUGGGGGAAACUGAGUCAUGAUAAAUUAAUUAAUUUUGUGAAUUUAAAGAGAAUCAUUUAAAUAGAAUAUCUCACUAAUGUUAAUAAAUUUCACCAAAAUAAACCAUGGAUCAAUAAUAUAAGUAUUACCUUUAGGCCAGGAAAUUCAAUUCUAUCUCAUUGAUAACUUUUGGAAGGUAAGGUGUUUAGAGUAAGAAGAGGGGCAGGAAAUAGAAGUAGAAGAUGAUUUUUUGAAAAGAUCUCUUUUUUUUGGUAGAUGGGAUAUAUUUACUUCUUUU